Molecule: long non-coding RNA, 947 nt
Filed under: Anser brachyrhynchus (Pink-footed goose)
Lineage: Eukaryota; Metazoa; Chordata; Aves; Anseriformes; Anatidae
Description: lncRNA (ENSABRG00000014871.1)
Source: RNAcentral
AUGCACAACAAAGAAUAUUGGACUAUUACAGCUUCAUUUGUGUCUAAGUUUCCUGCAAACCGGAACUUAGGAGAAAUGGAAGCAACACCAGUACCACAAUGGCUGCAUGAAAGACAUCUGUAUUACAGGUUACUUAACUUGAAUUUGUUUUCCAAUUUCAGAAUGAAGAAAUUCUUUCUGCUCUGGAAAAUCAACGCGAGAAGAAGUAAGACAAACAAGAGCAAGUCAGUUUGAAUGUAGGUUUUACAUGUGAAAAGAAUUAAAGAAUCUUCUGAUGUACACUUGUGGAGAAUAGUCAGACUUCUUAGUGUCACUGAUAAACACCAACCUUGGACGAAGGGGGGAGCUGAGCAGCUUGAUUUCACUUCUCUUGUACAAACUUUGUGGAUGGAGGUCCACAAGCCUGAUGUGAGAGGUUGCCAAAGAAGGGAGUCAUUUAGUGUUAGCAUUAGUUAGAUGAAGUGAGAGAAAAGUUAGGAAAAAGAAGAGUGAGGGAAGAAAGAAGAAAUUGGAAAGCUAGAAGAGGCAGUCAAUGGGCUGUGGUCUUUCUUCUCCACCAAUACAGGGAUGCCUUCGUGAUAAGCUCUGCACCUUCACUUUUGGGUGAGGAAUACCUAGGAUAGCCUUUUGCUAGCACUAUUAUCAUUUAUUAGCGCUACUGCAGUAAGUGUAUUUAUCAAUGGCAACUCCAAAUCUGUUAUAUCUGUUGCCUUAUCAUAUACUUUCAACUUUGUGAAACUGUCUCAGUGAAAGGCCUUAGCAGGGCUCUGAAACAGGCAAAUGUUUGACCACCCUUUAACAUGACAACUCUUCAUCGAUUUAUCCUAUUUUCCUUAAAUAUUUUAUGAAGCAACAAAGAAUAUUAUAAAAUGCUAGAUUACCUAUUGGUAGCAGCAUCACAGACUUACUCUAAUAAAUUUUUAAUGAAACUUUUAUCUUGCUGUGAA